GAGGGUUCCUCCCACUCACUCCGAGCGAUUUAAAAGGCAUGAAUCAUCUCAGGACGUCUCCAUUUAAUACUCUUCAGUGGGAGCGAACCGCAGGUUACUGAAACCGCUUACCAGGAACUGAAUCUGCCUGGAUCUUGGACUUCCCAGUGCGCCGAAGUGUGAGAAAUGAAUGUGGUUGUGAAGCCGCCCCAUCCAUGUAUUUGGUUACAGGAGCCUGAGCCGGCUAAGGCAGGGAGGAGAAACCCAUGCCUGGGUGUCGGGAGACUGAGUUUGCAUCCCUGGUUUGCUAGGCUGCCCAUCUGUGCAGGGGGGACGAUGACCUCUCCGGCGGAGGGGAUGUCUGCACCGAAGCUGACCGGCACUAGGGGUUCUGAUAGGGAUAGCUGCCUACAAGCACCCCUGACCAUGGCGGGGGAGGUGAGGACGCCCGGGGAAGGAAUCUCACGCAGCACGUGUCAGGAAGUGCGCGGGGUCUGGGGAGCACGCAUGUACCGGUCCCCUCCCUGGUUAUCCAUUUGCCUGCUCUGGUCCUCGCUCUGGGGGGGUUUGACCAGUUAGCCCAGCAAACGCCCUUGGACAUGGCCCUGUGCACACGUGCCUUUGGCGCUUAGGCAGCACUUUGCUGUUCAGGUUUUUAUUUAACUCGAAGGAAAAAAUAAGACACUUAUUCCCUGCCCCCAUACACCCUGCGCAAACACCCAGCUGACCUCAGCUCCACGCAGCACCGAGGUCAGCCAGGGCCUGGCAGCCCACCCUCGUGGGGACAGGAGCUGCAUGUCCUUGUGCCCAGAGCGCUGGGGCCGACUCCUUGCUCUGCCCCUGGGGGUGAGAAGGGGGUGGUCUCUACAGCAUCGUGGGGAGGACUCGAGAAGAUGAUGGACGUGCCAUGCUGUGUGGAACAGCGCCGUGAUCAUCCCUACACCGACCCCCUGAGAUUCAGCACUGUUCACAUGUGGCUUUUCUUCUUGCUUUUCUUUGCUGGAACCUGCGGGAGUCAGACAGAGACGCCACCAUCACCUGCCCGCGGACACUUCAAAUACCUUCCAAAAAUAAGGGCAUUGUUUUCACAGGUGACUGCACUCCACAAUCUCUGCUGGAAGACUAGCAAUGCAUUCCGAGUGUCCUUUCAUGCCCAGUUUAUAUUUAGAUGUCCAGGACUGUCCCCCAAAUAACGUUAACAGAGGGUUUUGUGUUCGUUUGUUUCAAAUCAAGUUCAUACCCGGCACCGUGGCUGAUGCAUUUUGAGCUCCUUUUAACCGAGAAGCCCCUUUUUCUUGCCUGCAGCCUCUGUAUUUUGCAUUUUUGAUGUUGACAUUGGCUGCUGGUCAAGAGCAGGCCAUUCUCCGAGAAGGCCCCGCACCCUGGAACCCUGGAAUGGUCCACCGGCCCCUCAUCCACCUAGAACCGGUUCCCAGCUGGGCCUGAACUGGGCCCUGUCCAGAGCUGGCUGUGACUGGCCGUCAGUGAAGGGACACUCCGUGACACCCUCAGAGGUGGGGGGCGGGGCACAUGGAGCCAGGGCCCAGGGGGUCCGGGCAGAGGACAAGCUUGUAUCGAAGGGAAGCCAGCACGGGGAUUGCUCCUGCCCCUCACCCGGCGUGUCACCUGCGGUCCCCUCCCCCGCCAGGUGCACUGUCUCACACAGCUUCUCCUUCCCUGUCCCGCAUGCCCACUGUCUUCUCACCUCACGGAGGCCCAGGAAAAGCCCUGGGCACCCAUGGAUGUCUCCCCUCCCCCUGCCCUGCUCCCCUGCAAAUCCUAGAUGGACGAAAACGUUCACCAGCACGAAGAAAAAUAAAGAGAUGGAUAAAGCAAUACGUAAAUAGGAGAAACGAGAGCAGAAAUACAGCCGGCCACCUUUCCCUCCGAGGGACAAACACAGCCGUACCCUGAAGAGCAAGGAAACUUGUUCUGGAGACUUUCAAGGGCGAAGGUGCAGGGAUAGUGCCUGUAUCUUAGAAGCCGGAACAGAAUGCGCAUCACGUGACACCCCUAAGUGACUUGCACGUCCCUGAAAGCCCACCGUGACCACAUUCCCCGCCAGAAGGCCCUCCUUCUCCCCUAGAAAAAACUGAUGAGCCCAUGAGCCCCGUUCUACAAGCAAAGGCCCUUCACUGGCUCAAAUCAAAAUCCUGGAUGGAGUGACCUGCGGAUAGGUAUGACUUUAAGAAAAUACAGGGAAGGCUCUAACUGGAAUGCAAACGAAAGGAAAAUGGUUUGUGAUGCAGUGAUGAUACACAGUUCGCUAUGCAGAUGUCUGGGCAGGGCGGCGCUGGGAAACUGAAGGGCGCAGUCAGGUCGCCGGCACCUGCACAUACAUAAAGUCGCCAUGCCUGCGUGCGUGCGUGCGUGCGUGCGUGCGGCUGCCAACGCAGGCCCACGUGGGUGUGUUUUGCUGGCGACUCCAAGCACUUCUCUGAGUGACAGGAUUUUCCAAAAACAGCAAAUCGCUCUUAAAUAAACCCCAGAGCCAGAGAAGUGCAAUGUCUUUUGAUUUGCAUGGCAGUGGCAUCCUAGGACAUUCAGGGGACAUUAACCCUGUGCACAGCCCCUCUGGGUGUCUCUGUAAAAU
Long non-coding RNA from Phyllostomus hastatus (greater spear-nosed bat), 2572 nucleotides. RefSeq lists it as uncharacterized. The record is from RefSeq and is a predicted model, not a curated record. NCBI's taxonomy places the organism in Eukaryota, Metazoa, Chordata, Mammalia, Chiroptera, Phyllostomidae. The transcript has 3 exons.